This 876-nucleotide long non-coding RNA is filed under the name Malus domestica (apple). RNAcentral's name for it is "long non-coding RNA (MDOM_LNC010285)". Lineage: Eukaryota; Viridiplantae; Streptophyta; Magnoliopsida; Rosales; Rosaceae. The record is from RNAcentral.
AUGCAGUCGUACCGAAUUUAUACUUUUGAAAGCUAUUGUAUAUUUCUGUCAAGUCACGCAAUAUGUUUUUAAUUAGUGUGACUUUCUAAUGGACUUUAUUGGUUUUAAUUAAACGCCAUGCAAUUUCAAACACCUUUUCAUUUAUUCUGGGCCACUGUUUGAUCACCUUUCAAUUUUGAACCAAUUUCCAGGCAACAUCACCAUAAUCAUUACCAAAUUUGAAGAUUUAACGUUUUACUAAACAACGUAAGCUAACCUUAUAUGUAUCGUAAAUACUUCAUUUUCUCAUAACGUUUCAUAAUAUAAUACAGUGAGUCAAAUCAAGCGUUUUCAUAACUUAAUUUAACAUCUCAUGGUCCUAUUUAGAACACGAAAACAAAAAAAGAGACUCCUAGUUUUGCCUAUGCCGGAUUUUUUUUAUAUUAAAUUGUAAAUAUUUCACCAAAUGGAACAAUUUUAAUUUUUUUUUAGCUGUAAACAAAAAAAAAACUUUAACGAAAAACUCUCGGUACUGUUCAUUUUAACGAAAAACCAUAUUUUAAUACUAAAAAAUCAAUUCUAAUAAAACUCAAAGUUUUCAAACAAAAAUAAACAUCAUGCUUACAAAACAGAGAAAAAUAAAAUUACGUAGAAAACCUGGAGUGAAGAGUCUUUAAACCGCAACCGCAGCUCACGGCGUUGAAAAUAAGAUUCCGUCGUCGCUUGUCCGAGACUGCAAGUACCCAACUGCCACCUGGGCCCCCACCAUGCCCUAAUCAAACCCUCUGGCUUUUUUCCACGAAUUGUUUUCCAUUUUCCGGCAAUCUUCCUCGUAACUUCCAUUUUUCCCUUUCGAUUUCAGCUGUCCCUGUCUUUGACUGGUUAAACCAAGCAGGA